ACUCCUACGGGAGGCAGCAGUGGGGAAUCUUGGACAAUGGGGGCAACCCGUGAUCCAGCCAUGCCGCGUGAGUGAUGAAGGCCCUAGGGUCGUAAAGCUCUUUCGCCNGUGAAGAUAAUGACUGUAGCAGGUAAAGAAACCCCGCGUACAUCCGUGCCAGCAGCCGCGGUAAUACGGAGGGGGUUAGCGUUGUUCGGAAUUACUGGGCGUAAAGCGCGCGUAGGCGGACUGG
RNAcentral lists this ribosomal RNA (232 nucleotides) under uncultured bacterium. RNAcentral's name for it is "partial 16S ribosomal RNA". It matches the Rfam family "Bacterial small subunit ribosomal RNA", at positions 335 to 583 of the family's 1533-position model. The record is from RNAcentral.